CAAAAUAAAAUAUAAAAAAACCACAAAUUUAAUAUCCUACAACAAAAUAUAAAUAAUCCAAACCAUAUUCUAUGAUUAAAUAUACAGUCAUCCAAAUACCAAAUUACAAAUCCCUAAUAAUACAAAUAACAAUAAUUCAAAUUCAAAUUAUAAAGUAAGGUAAUUUCUUUAAUUCUCUCCAUUUUGUCUUUGUCACCUUGAAAAUAAAAAUCCUAAACCAAAAAGUAAAUAAAAUAUAAUUAACAUGCUACAAUUUUGAUAAUAGUCAUUGUAAAAUUUUAAAUAUUAAAUAUAUAGCAAAUUUACAAUACUAUUAAGAAAAUAAUAAUUAAAUCUAUAAAACCAAAAAAAUAGACAAGAUAAAUCUACAAAGCCGAAAAAAAUAGGCAACAUUUUAAGUACUCAUGAUGCAUAAUAUGCUUCUAGGUUUGGCCAACUGUUACUUGGGUGAAUUUCCAGUACGUCCCUCAUUUAUUAUCUGAGCAAGAAAUGAAAAAUUAACAUUGAUGGCUACUAAGUAGUGGAUCCUCAAAAGACAAAUCCAAAUCAAGAUGAAUAAAAGACAAACCCAAGCCAAAACGUAGCACUUGUUGGAUGCAAAAAUAAUAAAAAAGAGAAAAAGAAGUGGAGCUUACUGUGAUUUAUGCAAGAUGAUGACUGCUGCUGGACUGUUGGUUGAGAAAUUGUGAAAUCGUGGCUGAGUUGCUAAGAGAUGAAGGGAAAGAGAGUGUGAAAUGUGAGAUUAGGGCCAGCUGCUCUAAUUGCUAUUUCACUUUGCU
Molecule: long non-coding RNA, 779 nt
Filed under: Citrus sinensis (sweet orange)
Lineage: Eukaryota; Viridiplantae; Streptophyta; Magnoliopsida; Sapindales; Rutaceae
Description: long non-coding RNA (CSIN_LNC003667)
Source: RNAcentral